UUAACAUACAGCUGGUGGGCCAGGAGAGAGUGAAAACAAAGCCACUGGAUAGUGAGAGGAUAGAGGGUGCUCCACAGACGCGAACUGCAUCUUUAUGUUUACAUAGAAGGGAGAGUGAAGGAGCAAAUGUGGGCAACAGCUGUCAGUGACACAUCAUUACCCCAACAGCCAGAAACAAGAUAAGCGCCUUGCAGGGGCCCUUAACUGACUGCUGGGUUCGAUGGUUCAAAGAGAAAAAGCACGUGAUAACUUUGAAGGAGGCUGCCUGGCUGAGCUGAUCGGAUCACCUAGAGACUGGAAAUGCUUUCUGGCAGUGCCUGAUCCUCUACUGGGUGUUCAACACUGGCUGCAUUUAUGGAGACCACAGACAAAAGAUGGAAACAGCCUCCACCGGCAUGGGGAUCAGGCAUGGGGCAAACACAGGAGACAAAACAGGAGAAUCUCCCGAGAACACCCUCUGAUCAGCACUCUGCAUGCAAUUUCCAUCUCAGACUCUGUUUCUAGGAAGACUUUCAGGCAGCUGACACUGGACGUGGUUGUGAGUUGCAGGCCCUAAUGAAAAAUUGGAGAGGAAGCAGGUGGCCGGCUGAUGAAAUGAUAACCAGAAGGCCUGUGGGCUUGGGUGGCUGAGGCUGAGGCUACUGAGUGUUGAAGAGAGAGAGGCAGAGGCGCAGGAUGACUCAUCACUGGUUUCAGGCAAACUGUGAAAGCCAGAGCACUUCCUUGGCAGCAUUUAAGAAAACCCCGAUGAUCUGCAGCUGGAAGGCAGGUUGGCUGGAGGACCAGUCUGAACCCUGAGUAGGUUAAGUUCUCAGUCCUUCAGACACAGGGCUCUAAUGGGAAAGAGGUGAGACCCUUACACUUAGGGUGGGAGCCCUGGACAGUUGGGAACCCUGAACACUUACAUGCCCCUGAGUCCCCUGGGCCUGCAGAAAUGGCCUAUUUCUCAUGUCAUGUAGAAGAUUGUAGACUGCUUGAACCUGGGAGGCGGAGCUUGCAGUGAGCCCAGAUUGCACCAUUGCACUCCAGCCUGGGCAACAGAGCGAGACUCGGUCAAAAAAAAAAAAAAAAAAAAGCAAGACUUUCCUUUUCUGAAGAUCAUACAGAGGUCUCAAAUGAGUCUGAAGUCACCUGCCCUAUCUGGACAUUCCAUAGACUACCACUUUUACCCACGACUUCGAUGUGGCAUGCUCAUUGGACCAGAUAAGCAAGCAGUGGCAAGUGGAUUGGAGGUCUUGGUAACCAGUUCAACCAAAAUCCUGGGACAGCUGUUCCCUGAUGCGGCACACUUCCUAGAAGAAGCAAGUGAAUUUAAAGCAGAGUGAACUGUAGAGGAGUUCACGACCAAAUCUCUGAUGCUUUCCCCAGAUCUUUCUUCAGGGCCAACACAUCCAUUGCUCAGCUGUGAUAGACAGCAGUCAGGGGUGGCUCACCUCUCUCACUGGGAAUUGCUCUCAGCAGUAGGGAACUCAUUCAGGGUUAAGGCAUCUCCUUGAGGAGGCCCAUGUUCAAUUACUGGUUGACACAGGAAUAUGAAGGCCUGGCCCUCGUCUCAGCUUGGAAUAAAUCUGAAGGCCCAUCACAGCUUCAGAGAUGCUUGGAGAAGGCUGAGGUCUCCCCUGUAACCUUAUGAGAACCUUGAGUUGUUGAACUCAUUAAUUCUUUGGGACCAUCUUCCUGAUGUUCAAGUUUGUGAAACAGGCUUUCCCUUUAAGAUUUGUUUUCCUCAAAAUACAAGACUAUUGAUGCUUCAGUUUUGAAGUGGAUUCUGCACUCAAGAAAUGUACCAUUGAAGAAUGGGACUGGUAGGAAGGGAAAAAAACUAAAAGGAAACGCAUUUUCGAGUUGCACAUCAUGAUCAGGCACAGAGUCCAGAUACACUUGGAGUAGCAAGCAUCCAUCCUUGUGGAGACGCACAUGAACCAGGACUCUCUGCACCCACCCCUCUCAAGUUUUAUUUUCCGACGGCUGUAAUGUUCCAGGACACCUGCCAUCAUGGAGGGUUAUCCAGCACCUGGAGGAUACCUGCUACCUGGUGAAGGACUUUAGUACGAUGGUCAAGACAAGAACCGUGGAGUCAGAAUGCCUGCAUGCAGAUCUCAUCACCAUGGGAUUCAAGUCUGGCUUGUCUGGGGCCAAGCUGAGUU
RNAcentral lists this long non-coding RNA (2147 nucleotides) under Homo sapiens (human). RNAcentral's name for it is "HSALNT0300224". The record is from RNAcentral. Lineage: Eukaryota; Metazoa; Chordata; Mammalia; Primates; Hominidae.